Molecule: ribosomal RNA, 445 nt
Filed under: uncultured Methanomicrobiales archaeon
Lineage: Archaea; Methanobacteriati; Methanobacteriota; Methanomicrobia; Methanomicrobiales
Description: bacterial SSU rRNA
Rfam family: Archaeal small subunit ribosomal RNA
Source: RNAcentral
CCUGCGGUUUAAUCGGACUCAACGCCGGGAAACUCACCAGAUAAGACAGCUGAAUGAUAGUCGGGCUGAAGACUCUACUUGACUAGCUGAGAGGAGGUGCAUGGCCGUCGUCAGUUCGUACUGUGAAGCAUCCUGUUAAGUCAGGCAACGAGCGAGACCCACGCCAACAGUUGCCAGCUCGUCCUCCGGGAUGGUGGGGACACUGUUGGGACCGCCUCUGCUAAAGAGGAGGAAGGAAUGGGCAACGGUAGGUCAGCAUGCCCCGAAUUAUCUGGGCUACACGCGGGCUACAAUGGGUGGGACAAUGGGUAUCGACACCGAAAGGUGAAGGCAAUCUCCUAAACCCAUCCGUAGUUCGGAUUGUGGGCUGCAACUCGCCCACAUGAAGCUGGAAUCUGUAGUAAUCGUGUCUCAAAAUGGCACGGUGAAUAUGUCCCUGCUCCUU